RNAcentral lists this ribosomal RNA (409 nucleotides) under uncultured bacterium. RNAcentral's name for it is "bacterial SSU rRNA". It matches the Rfam family "Bacterial small subunit ribosomal RNA", at positions 976 to 1381 of the family's 1533-position model. The record is from RNAcentral.
UGGGCUUGACAUGUACAUGCCGGCCGUGGAAACACGGCUUUCCAGCUUGCUGGACGUGUACACAGGUGCUGCAUGGCUGUCGUCAGCUCGUGCCGUGAGGUGUUCGGUUAAGUCCGGCAACGAGCGCAACCCGUGUCGCCAGUUACCAUCGGGUAAAGCCGGGGACUCUGGCGAGACUGCCCGUGUCAAGCGGGAGGAAGGCGCGGAUGACGUCAAGUCCGUAUGGCCCUUACGUCCAGGGCUGCACACGUGCUACAAUGGGCGGCACAAUGGGAAGCAAAACCGCGAGGUGGAGCCAAUCCCCAAAACCGUCCUCAGUUCGGAUUGGAGUCUGCAAUUCGACUCCAUGAAGCCGGAAUCGCUAGUAAAGGCGCAUCAGCAACGGCGCCUUGAAUACGUUCCCGGGCCU